Molecule: non-coding RNA, 28 nt
Filed under: Mus musculus (house mouse)
Lineage: Eukaryota; Metazoa; Chordata; Mammalia; Rodentia; Muridae
Source: RNAcentral
UGAUAGUUCAGAUCCCCAAUAACAUUGU